Molecule: long non-coding RNA, 2001 nt
Organism: Myotis brandtii (Brandt's bat)
Lineage: Eukaryota; Metazoa; Chordata; Mammalia; Chiroptera; Vespertilionidae
Exons: 3
Source: RefSeq, a predicted model, not a curated record
AGGCACUAUUUUACUAUUUCCCCAGUAGGAAGACAGGCUCAGAGAGUUCACAGAACGGACUCCAACAUUGUAUCUCCUAUACGGUAGAGCCAGGCUCAAGAUUCAGCCACGUCUGAUCUCAAAUCCCGUCUUCCUACCACCAUGCUGCUGUCACUCCUCUCUCAGCUGUUACCAGAGUCCUAACAGAGGCUGCUCAGUCCAGGAGUGCAUUGCAUGUGCUUCUCCCGGCCCCUGGGCCACCCCGCUUUAAUGUGUCCCUGGACGGACGCCCGCAGUGCGACCUCUUAGUUGUUACACGUCCCAGUUCCACUCUGGUUCUCACGCGGGGCCGGCCCUGAUGAAUCAGCUCCCAGUAACAGGCUCAGUUUGAAUUUCAGCAGAAUUCUCUAAAAACAAUAACCAGAUGCAAUUCAACUCACAUCGUGUCCACAUAAGGAAUCCAUUCCAAGAGAAGUCAGAGGAUGCACUGCGAUGCUCAGUCAGAUGAAUGACUCCUCAUCUGCCCUGGGCUCGCUUUAGAGCUCAAAGAAGAAAUAACAUCGAGAUUAAUUUGCGAGCUCAGUCUUUGACUCCGGUCUCAGGAAGAAUGCACGUAUAAUUAAGUCUUAUAAUGAUGACCCCUUAGAUCAUAGAUCACUCACGGGUAGUGGCUCCUUCCAGACACCUGCCACACUCAAGGCAAUUUCCUCUUUUCCGUCUCAAGAACUGUUUCAGACUUUGCUUUCAUACAGGCUGCUCAGAAGAGCCGGGCCACCAUCCUUGGAGUAAAACGGGAUCCUCCAGGAAUUACAUCAUUUAUUUUUCAACACAGAUUAAUUUAAUUUGGUUUAGUUUUACAAGGGCGUGUGAUCAUAGAUUUGAUAACCAAAUAGAUGCCCUGACGUAAAUUUCAGUCCUGGUUUCGCUUUCUUCCAGUGAGAAAAACAAAGACUCUCAAAGCUCCAAAUAACCCCAUGAUUUGGGAUGAUUGAUUAUGGGAAUGCUGCUUUUACUGUACAUCCAAGAGAGAAGAGGAUUUUCUCCUAAAUAUAUAACUACAGAAAUGGUAUUUUUGAAGCUCUCCUUGCUACUCUGUGUGCUGAAAUCUGAAGACUUCUUCCUCCCUCCAGCCGACAGGUGCUCCCACUGCAGAAACACGAUGUCCCAGGGACUUUCCUGUGCUCUACUUUGAUUCCAAUUUGCUCAUUACAGUGAAAUAGGACCCCCGAAAUGUCAAAGAAUCAUCCUUUUCACCUUAGCUCUUUUAAGCGGUUCUAAACAGAGAUUAUUUCUUCACAACUAAACCUGGGAAAUAACAGCUUUGUCCAUUCAAAGCACACCUGUUGUAAAGAGAUACUUUUUCUUUCUUUCUAGUUUUUGCCCCUGAGCAACUUCUCAGUAAUUCAACAAAUAAUUUUCAGGGUGUUGAGAGAUUCAGAGAUUUUUGGAACUAGGAUUCAGGAAGAUAGGCCCUGUAUUGGAGGAGUAUCUAGUCCCCAGCAAAAGUGAAACGAAAUGAAAACAGCAACAAAUAACAGAUAAAUAAGUCACAGUAAGACAUGAGGUGAGGGCCAUAAUCAAUAUACUUAUGAAUGAAUGGAAGCCUAGGGAGGGGGACAGUUACUUCUGCUGGGUUUGUGAAGUCUGGAAGGGCAUCAGCCAGAGAAGGUAACAAUUUUUCUAGGCUGAAAAGUGAGGCAUCAUUGGUUCCCUGUAGGAGUGGGGUGGGUGUGGAACAGCGAUCCAGGGAAGGAAGACCUUGAGCAGGAACUCUGAGGUGGUAGUCUUCCCAUUCACAGAAUGUAGUGGGCUGGGGCUGGCUGGAGAUCUAGGCUUGGGGCAAAUGUUCCAGAACAUAAAUAUCCUUAUGAAGGAGUUUGGACUUUACCUUACAUGCAUGAAGGAGGCAUCGAGGUUUGUAAUUAUGGGUCUAAUAUGUGCUGCAGAAAUAUUUUGGUGUCCAGGAGAGGUGGAAGUCAACACUUGCACAUCUCUGUGUAGCACAGACAGUAAAUUGCCACC